GGGGGGGGGGGAGAGAACACUUAGGCUGCCACUGAAAGAGUUAAUAACCUCCGUCCCUUCCCCCAACCCUGCUUUGUCCUUUUAAAACCUGCCUGGAUAUCCGAUUGGGACUCUGACGGGGAGGAGGAGCUACACUAAUGAAUUAAUACACGCGGGAGCAAGAGUAGCUCACCAGAAUGCAUACGCGUCGUACCACAUGGCAGAACAGGGAUCAAAUAAGCCUGUUCAGAGAGCUUGUUUGGAUCAGGAUGCUCUGUGUGGACUCCCAUGAAGUGUGGAAUGCUACAGCUGUCAUGAGCCUGCUGAACUGAAUUAGCUGAUUAUGAAUUUAUGACACAGUAGCCAGUUGAAAAUGCGUCUCUAAUUUCAGCUUUAAUGAUAAGCAACAGGUUUAAGCAAACAGUCUCACCGAAAACACAGAAGCAAAUAGUCAAGGCACAAAAGUCCCAUCAAUAGCCAAUAAACCAGGCCUUCUAGCAGAAUUUCAAAGGUCUAGAUUCCGGAAUCACAAUCCACCAGACAAGUCACAAAGGCUGAUUAGAUGCAUUGUCUCCAGCAAUCUGCUCAGGGCACAAACUACAGAAUGUAUAGCCAACAGCCAGGUGCAAUCAAUCAAUGCUCCACUCCUGCUAGCUGCUACAAAUUGUCAGUCUCUCGCUGCCUUCUUGCUGAAUACCAGCCGCUGCUUCUCAACUCCAUAACCUGCCGUUGAAGCUUCUCUCGCCUACAUUCUCUGGGAGACAACGGCCGCUCAACCUCUUGCUCGGACUCUGACCCUUCCCUCUGAAGACGUCUCCGCCCCGUUGGCUCCUCCCAUGGCAACCACUCACCCUGCCCCCUCUCGGAUGCCUCAGAUCAAGGACCUGACCCUCCUCAGAUGUCUCCCUGCUUCCCAAGGCAGAGCAGGAGGAUGAGUGUGGAGAAGAAAGACAAGCGAGGAGGAUGGGCGGGCAGUUCUGAAGCUACAAAGUUGCCAUUAGAAGUUACUGUGUGGCGCAGAUUAUGUUUCAGGAGGAGAGGAUGCAGAGAACCCCCACUAGCCCACCCCGAAACAGCAAGCAGGGUGCGGAGAGCAUCUGGGUGUGUUUUCUAAUUCAUUCUGAACAAGAACCACUCAAAACUGUGGAUUCUAAGCAGGUGUGGGCACUUGCCAUGGGCAGGUUCUUGGUGCAAAAAUAUGGUCCCAUGAAAUUGUUUUAACUGUUUAUUCUGUGGAAUUGUUUUGUUUUUACUCAGUUUUAUAUUUGUUGUUUUUAAAUUGUGCACAUCGACUAUUGAUACACAUCAGGUGGUAUAUAAAUGUGAUAAAUAAAUAAAAUAAAUAAAAUACUGGGAUUCAAAGCUGAA
Molecule: long non-coding RNA, 1347 nt
Organism: Hemicordylus capensis (graceful crag lizard)
Lineage: Eukaryota; Metazoa; Chordata; Lepidosauria; Squamata; Cordylidae
Exons: 3
Source: RefSeq, a predicted model, not a curated record